This is a long non-coding RNA of Camelus dromedarius (Arabian camel), 7152 nucleotides long. RefSeq lists it as uncharacterized. The record is from RefSeq and is a predicted model, not a curated record. Lineage: Eukaryota; Metazoa; Chordata; Mammalia; Artiodactyla; Camelidae. The transcript is spliced from 3 exons.
AAUCCCGCGAGAACAGGCAUCAGGAUCUCACGAGAACAAAAUCUUGGUUUUACGUGGGCGGAGCCAUCUUCCGGCUGUCUUUCCUCUAGGAAGCGUGUAACACGAAGGUCCGCGAUAGUUGCAAAUAUCGCGAGGUUUAAUAUCGCUUGCCAGCCUGGUGUAGGUCCCCUGGCCACCUACAGAGGCGGGAAGUUAUUCCUGGGAUUAGACCUGCUGUGGGUCUUUUAAGGACCGGUAGGAAGGCUGACGGCUUAGCAAGAGGCCGUCGGCCUGGUGAUCGCAGCCUUCCGGCUUGUACUUGGUGCUUGGUUCCCUUGUCGCUUUGCCAGCGCUUGGGAACUUUCGGAACUGAGCAAUUCCCUCCUGGAGUGCCGCCUCAGCCGUGUGGGAGGGACGCCGUCGCCUCCGGAUACCCAGAGGAGGAUGAGUGAAGCAGCAUGUCUUCUUAGGUUUUCAGUCAAGGGCUGUGUUCUCUCUACGUGUGAGUGUCUGUGGUCCUGCCUGCAGAGAAGGCAGCAGACGGCAAGUGCCGGCUUCUUGGGCUGCGUGCUGAGGCCUCCAGCAAGGUCUGUCGCAUCCAGCCUUUUAUCCUUAGCAUCGCACAAGUGUCUGGCAUAUGGAGCUAUCAUGAACUACCAAAGUUUUUUGAGCGACAAGGCUGAACCAAAACCCAGGUAACUUACUUCCUAUGCAUCUCCAAACUCCUGGACAUUUCUUGAAAAUUCGGUGUUUGAGGAUCGAUCGAUAUGGCAGUCCCACAUUCUCCUAUAGUUCAACCCACUCUAUCGCUUCUUGACAGAGACAAGUGAAGUUCGCACAGACACACUUAACGUGGCUCUGUUUCUCCAAGUCUUGGAGGCUCUAGCAACCCUGGUGGGUACCCUGGAAACACCACCUAUGUCUGAGCAGAGGAACCGCAUGUCUGUAAAAUGAGAUUCAAGCUCAGGAUGCCCACCAUGAAUGCCUGUUUGGUGGCUCAUAGGCUCCUGAAGUCAUCAGGUACCGCUCCUAAGAACAUGCCUUUGGUUCAGUGCAUGGUGUUUCCAUAGAGAAACAGAUGAGAAUGCAGGAGCACGUGUUCACAUGCAUUUAGUGAGGAAGAAUCACGGCCCUGUCAUGAGUAUUCUUGGCACAAACAUCCAAACCAUAAUGAACACCAGAGGUACAUGUUUAUAAGGACCACCUUCAGCUUGGUGCUAUCAUGUUGUCGAAAGUGAGGCUGGAGAUGAGAACUAUAAAAUUAAAAUCGUAUACACCGAUAUGCCUUCCCUACAGUGUUUUCAUGCAAGUUCAAAUCUGUCUGACUUCUUAGAGUGAGUUUUCAACAGCUCAGUUGGAGAUCUCAAGAUUGUAAAUUUGGAGAAGAUGAUGAAAGGAGAUUACAAUCUGCCCUUCUCAUUCCAGGCAAGAGAGCAUCUGAAUCACUUCAGGAAGUCCUUGGUCCAAUCCUACCUCUUUCCUUGUCGAUGUUAGUAUACCCAGAACAUUACCACAGGCGGUCGUGAUUGGUGGCUAGAGCUCGCAUAAGAAAGGAACUUGAGAAAGUAGAAACUUGAGUAAAAAUCAGGGAAGUGACUCCAUGACGAAUGAGCAAGUCACUCAAGUAGCAGAGAAAAAUCCCAGACAGAAUCAGACUGUCCCAGAAAAGGCAUUUAAAUGAUGAUGGGCUGGUCCCCAAAUCAUACUUCCUUCUACAACCCGACGCGAUCAGCAUGCCCACCAUGCUGCAGCCACCUGCACAAACCACACCACUCUCUUUACAGCCACCCAGCCCACGGGGUCCUCGGUGUUCGGUGGCUCAGUUCCCCACCAGCCAUCCGCCAUUGCUCCUGCCUUCUCAUUUCCCCUCGCUUAUUUGGCAAAACUGUCCAUCUGCUCUGUGGUCCACUGGAUUGCUAUCCUCUCCUUCUUUCUGUAGGAACAGAAUCCCCACAUUUCACUGGUCACAUGGCAACCUAACCUUAGGACUACAUUUCCCAGUCUCCCUUGCUAUGUGUGGUCACGUGACUAAGUGAUGGGAGGAAUAUAUGCAAUUUCCAGGUCAUGUCCUUAAAGGCAGUGGCUGUGCCUUCCCUGUUCUCCUUCCUACCGGCUGUAAUGCAGCGCCACUGGAAGUGUCAGGGAGCCAAAUGGACCCAAUGAACACCCUAGGAGAAGACGGAGUAACAAGGGGGAGAGAGACUGGCUCCCUGACCAUCUAUUCUGUAUCUAAAUGCAGCACUGCGCCAAAUCAUUUUUAUCACUUUUGCAGCCUACCCUCAAUGCCAAAGCUCUGCUCCCACAGCGUUAGUGCCUCAGUGAGGCCGCCUUCCAGAACCCUCCGCCAAGUCCUAACUUUCCCCAUGUUCGUGGUCGUGUUGUGCACUGCCGUUGGACUUCUCAGUGCCAGAGGAGUGGUGGUACUUGGUCCGUGUGGUUAGCUCUUCAUUAAACUGAACUAGGAAGUAUGCUUCAGCUCAUAGAAGGUGUUCGGUAAAUGCUUGUCAAGUGAAUGCAUGACCAAGAGAAAGUCCUGCCACUCAAUGCAAAAGAACCAGUUCAUGGAAAUUUUCUCCUUCAAAUUCUUUAAAAGAAUGAUCAUCAUCAUCAUCUUACAUUCAUUUAAUCAAUGUGUAGACACUGUACUAGUUAGCUGUCCAAUGCACUGUCUUUUAAUCUCACAAGGACUCGAUAAACUAUAUAUUGUAGCUAUGAUUAUGAUUAUUCCCAUUUUACAGGUGAGGAAACUGAGCUCAGAGAAGCUAAAUAACUUGCCCUAGACAAGUUAAGUGGCACAGCCAGACUCACAGCUCUGUCAGUCUUGCUCUAGUGCCACAAGCAUCCUUAACCAUUGUGUUAACAGUGACGGUUUAAGAUAAAGAAACAGGUAAGUGAAGAAUGAAUUUCUUGAGUGCUUACUGUUCAGAUUUGCUGGGUGGGGAAGUGCCCCCAUCCCAACCUAGCCCUGGAGGAAGCUGGGGCUUGGAGCACAGAUCAUGCAGGGACCACAGUUUGAUAUCCAAGAAUGCACAACCCAGGGUUCUGGGUAUCUAGAUUUCCAUAAAUUCUUAAUGGUUCUUUGAAAUUUUUUUUUGUAUAUAUAUUUUUUAUUGAGUUAUAGUCAGUUUACAAUGUUGUGUCAAUUUCUGCAAUAAUGUUGCAAUCAUACAUGAACACACAUAUAUUCGUUUUUUCAUAUUCUUUCUCACCAUAGGUUACUACAGGAUAUUGAAUAUAGUUCCCUGUGUUAUACUGUAUGAACUUAUUGUUUAUCUAUUUUAUAUAUAUUAGUUAGUAUCUGAUUUUUUUUUUAAGCACAACAGCUCACCUUUGCAUAGCGCUUCAUGGUGAAUAAAUGCUCGUACAAACUCUAGCCCUGUAAUACGAUUAUUCUCAUUCUCCAGAGGAGGAAACUGAGACCCAGAAAGAUGUGACUCGGCUGGUAGGUGGUUAAAUAGACAUCUAAACACAGGAUUUUUGUUUCCUUCACGUCUCAUGCUCUUCCUAGUUACCAUGUUUCAUCCCUUCUGUCCCUCACCCACUCCCUUCCCCGAAGCAUGCUUCAGAAAAAUGAUGAUAGACUUGCCUUUACAGAGGGCAAAACAAAUAAUGCUAAGUUUUAAAAUACUUUUUUGAAGUGUUGUUUUUUUCGAGGCAUCCAUCCAGUCCCGUUAGCUAGGAAAGCUGUAGAAAACACAAGCGUUUAGUUUGCAUUUUGAAUUCAACUAAGGCUGGGAACCGUGCCACUGAUGGCUUUCCCCUUAGGUGGCCAACCUGCUUACAUUUUUCUAGUACCUUUGGGAGUUGGCCCAAGUCAUCCGAAAAAUCAUCCAGAGCCUGGAGAAAUCUACUGUCCGCGCAUCGCCUCCUCCCACAAGAUACGUGGUUGAGGUCAAGGUGAGGAACACCAGCAGAGCAGGCGGGCUGCUGCUAUGACGCCAGUGGGGACCCACACUGGGCGCUCAAAGGAUGCUGGUUUCCAAGGGAGCCAAAUACGCAUGAAGUGCCCUCUUUUAUUGCUCGGUAUUCAGACAGGUCGGAUCCAGAGCCCACUCACCUACCUGGAUGCUGAACUUUUUAGUGGAAAAUUUACCAGAUGCAAACAGGGGGUUUUUGUACGAGGUGUUUUCCCUGGACCACGGUUUUGUGGGAAUCGGGGUGGGGGAGGAGGACACGCUGCAGACAAAAGGCUUGGCGGUGGGGCCCUGCUGGAGAACUCAAGCAGGGCCGAAGCUCAGAAUGACGGAGAUGCUUGUGGUGACAACCAAGUCUGCCGGGAAGAAUGUGCCCAACCGCUCCCAGCGGGGAGCCGGCCGCAGGGGAAGAGGAGGGAGGGCGCUUGGCUCAGAGGGGAGACCUUGUGGGAAGAGGUGUUGGGGUUGCUCUCGGGAGCAGCUGUUUGGCUUUGGCUGGCCUGCUUUCUGGGCCCACCGGGGGCCGUGGAAACACGACGAGGCUAGCCCGCCACCCAGCCCAGGUAAAACUGAGUCCUGCUAAAGAGACAGGAAAGGGGUCAGGCCCAGAACAGCAGGCCAGGGCAGGGCCAGGGGUGAAGAUGCAGGAGGGGGGAGAUCUGUGGGAGAAAGUGUGAAAGAGAAAGGGGCAGGGAGGGGGAAGAGGGAGAGAGGAGAGAGGAAAAGAGGGACUAGCUCAAGUGGUAGAGCACGUGCUUAACAUGCAGAAGGUCCGGGGUUCAAUUCCCAGUACCUCCUCUAAAAAUAAUAGAUAAACCUAACUCUUUCUCUCCCCUCUCCCCAAGAAAGAGGGAGACAGAGAAAUCAAAAUUAUUCUUGCAGGAGGGGUAAUCAGGUGAAACCAGUUUAAAGCCUUUAAGAAUGGGGGCUCCCUGGCUCUCCGAGAGACGGAGCUGAGCAGCUCACUGCUGUUUCUCUUCUGAGAGGUGUUUCCUGGCUGUCUGUCGGCAGGGAGGGAGGUUUGGAAAGCCUUCAGGAUAAGCAACAGUGGGAACACCACGCUUUCACCGGGGAGGCCACACACGGAGCCUGUGCACAGAGAAACACACACACACACACACAAAUAGGCGCAAACAAAACGAAAUCUCCAUUCAGUCCAUCUUUCAACAGGAAGCAAACACAUGGCAAACAUUGCAAAAUCUGGGCUUGGCAGGCGGUGGCCUCGGGGUCUCUAGGUGGGUCUGACAGCAACGGGGAGAUGUUAACCCUUCGUGUGCCGCUUGUCAUUUUGGUCUUCACCUGAGAAUGAAGGCAGUGGGUUUCCAGAAAGUCUCAAAAACAAUGAAAAGUGGGGAUGGAUGAAGUGUGCAAUUAAAGGAGAGAAACAAGACCCAAACUGAAUCUCCAAGUGGUAUUAAAAUCAAGUUAAAAUAACUUUUUGAAAGUCAGCGAUUGCAAUAUUGAUUACUUAAUAUUUAUCCCAACUUUAGUAAAUGCACAGGAGACUACAAGGAAAGGGUUGUGGGGUUAGCUAGCUCAGGGCUUCUUAAACUUGAAUAAACACACAAUCCACCGAGGGGCUGGUAGAAAUGCAGACUCUGACAGUCAUCUUCUUUGGGGGGGAGUAACUAGGUUUUAUUUAUUUUUAAUGGAGGUACUGGGGAUUGAACCCAGAACCCCAUGCUUCCUGGGCAAGUGCUCUACCACUGAGCUAGCCCCUCUCCCCACCUGCAGCCUCCGAUUAGGGAGGUCUGGAGUGGGGCGUUGCUGACAAGCGCCCGAGUGAUGAUCACUGUGGCUAGUGAGGGUAUACGUGGAUUUUUUUCUUCUUUCUACGCUCUGGUAUUUUUAAAUCUUCUAUAAUAAACAUGUUACUUACUUUGACAAUCAUGAAAAUGUUUUCCUUUUGAAGAUGAGGUGUUGGUAGAUUAAGUCCAGUGCCUCAUCUGACCAGAUCCUGGAAGAUGAGACUCCAACAGGGAAGGCAAAUCAGAGCUUUGAUGCCCAGCCCGGAGUGGGGGGUCGCAGGGAUUCCCCGGGAAGCUUUACAGAGCAUGUGCCCCCUGGGGACUUGUCGGAAUGGGGGUGGGGCUGUGUAAUCGGAGAGCUCCGGGACCACACACCGCGCGGUCGGUUCCCCAGGGCGGGGAGCCCCUGCGCAGCGGGUCUGCGCAGACGCAGACGGUGCGCGUAGCUGUCAUCCAGACCCAGCCUGCGUGUGGCUGCGGUGGCAGAGUAGAAACAUACUGUAUUGUGUGUUCUCAACCAGUAAAACCCAAGCUGUACACGCUCAUCUAGAGUAAAUCAAGCCAUUCACUGCUCACACUUUGUGUUUGUGCUGAAGAAGCCACCCCACAGCUCGCUUUCAUACAUCUGAUGGAGAGACACAAAGAAUUGGUGGUGACCUUGUCGCUCUCCUAAGACACCGGACAGCUGAGGCGGGUAACCAGACAGGACCCUCAGACUAUGGGUAAAGCCCGUAGGUUUACAAAGUGGGUCUGUGGCACCAAGAAUCUGACAGUUGAAAAUACCAGAUAAAUUGGCAUCUUGGGAGUCCUUCUGUCCGUGGGAGAAGUCAGAAGCAUCACUAUCCAAAAUGUUCCUCUUUUGUGGAAUCACAGAGAACUUGUGCCAUUCAAACUAUGGUCACAGAUACAGCAAUAUUAACUGAGUCAUCAAUAACAUGAACAGGAGCAUCUUCUCGUCGUCUCGUUUCAAGGAUAAGGAAAAUGAGAUGGGCUGGUCUGUGGACUACAUCUUCUAUGUAUUAUUUGAUUAGUCAGAACUCUUUCAAUUCAAACCGGUAGAACCAAGAAAAUGGGAAUUUACUGAAUCACGUAACUGAAAAGUCUAUCUUCAGGCAUAGCUGUAUCCAGGGACUCCAGUGAUGCUAGUAAACCUUAGCCUCCUUCUUCCCCUCUCAGUUCAGCUCUCCUUCACGUUGGCUCCUCUAUCAGGCAGGCUUGCAGUUGGGGGACAGAUGCUAGGAGGUUCCUGCUUGCUCGUCAUCCUCGCUGAAACCCCAGAAAAAGAAAAGUCUCUGCCAUGAUAGUUUAAACAAACAUCCCCUAUUGGAGUCUUUUUAGCUGGACUUGGAUCACAUCCAGGAAUCUGGACCAAUCUCUGGGACAUGGGGGGGCCCAGUCCUCCAGGCCUUGGGGCAAGUGUCCAGCACUGGAUCCACACAUGAAUGUAGUUGGAGAUUUAAGAGCAGAGAACUGAGAGCUUUUCUAGAAGAAUAUGGACUAUAUAAUUAAGA